UAGAUGUGGCUGCCGCACAUUGUUUCCUAGU
RNAcentral lists this non-coding RNA (31 nucleotides) under Rattus norvegicus (Norway rat). The record is from RNAcentral. Lineage: Eukaryota; Metazoa; Chordata; Mammalia; Rodentia; Muridae.